GCAUUGGUGAUUCAGUGAUAGAAUUCUCACCUUCCAUGCAGGAGACCCGGGUUCUAUUCCCAGCCGAUUUA
Molecule: transfer RNA, 71 nt
Filed under: Loxodonta africana (African savanna elephant)
Lineage: Eukaryota; Metazoa; Chordata; Mammalia; Proboscidea; Elephantidae
Rfam family: tRNA
About the family: Transfer RNA (tRNA) molecules are approximately 80 nucleotides in length. Their secondary structure includes four short double-helical elements and three loops (D, anti-codon, and T loops).
Source: Rfam by way of RNAcentral